This 253-nucleotide ribosomal RNA is filed under the name uncultured bacterium. RNAcentral's name for it is "partial 16S ribosomal RNA". It matches the Rfam family "Bacterial small subunit ribosomal RNA", at positions 524 to 776 of the family's 1533-position model. The record is from RNAcentral.
UACGUAGGGUGCGAGCGUUGUCCGGAAUUACUGGGCGUAAAGAGCUCGUAGGUGGUUUGUCGCGUUGUUCGUGAAAACUCACAGCUUAACUGUGGGCGUGCGGGCGAUACGGGCAGACUGGAGUACUGCAGGGGAGACUGGAAUUCCUGGUGUAGCGGUGGAAUGCGCAGAUAUCAGGAGGAACACCGGUGGCGAAGGCGGGUCUCUGGGCAGUAACUGACGCUGAGGAGCGGAAGCGUGGGGAGCGAACAGG